This 335-nucleotide unclassified non-coding RNA is filed under the name soil metagenome. RNAcentral describes it as "partial contains 5.8S ribosomal RNA, internal transcribed spacer 2, and large subunit ribosomal RNA". The stretch from base 1 to 120 matches the Rfam family "5.8S ribosomal RNA", at positions 35 to 154 of the family's 154-position model. The record is from RNAcentral.
GAUGAAGAACGUAGCGAAAUGCGAUAGGUAAUGUGAAUUGCAGAAUUCAGUGAAUCAUCGAAUCUUUGAACGCACAUUGCGCCCAUUAGCAUUCUAGUGGGCAUGCCUGUUCGAGCGUCAUUUCAACCCUUAAGCCCUGUUGCUUAGCGUUGGGAGCCUACAGUACUGUAGCUCCCCAAAGUUAGUGGCGGAGUCGGUUUCACACUCUAGUCGUAGUAAUUUUUUCUCGUCUGUAGUUGAGCCGGUCCCCUGCCGUAAAACACCCAAUUUAUCAAGGUUGACCUCGGAUCAGGUAGGAAUACCCGCUGAACUUAAGCAUAUCAAUAAGCGGAGGA